RNAcentral lists this long non-coding RNA (2130 nucleotides) under Malus domestica (apple). Its description in RNAcentral is "long non-coding RNA (MDOM_LNC005668)". The record is from RNAcentral. Lineage: Eukaryota; Viridiplantae; Streptophyta; Magnoliopsida; Rosales; Rosaceae.
UUAUAGUUGACAUGGAACGCCACUAUGACAGUAUACUCAUACCAUAUAAGUUGGUUUUCAUCGGUAGGUCUUGAAAUCAAACUAACCAAACCUGUUGAUUUGAAUUGUAGUUGUAAAUUUGAUUUGAUUUUGAUCAAGAAAAAUGUUGAACGGUUCAAAAUGAAAUAGACUUUAUAUUUUGGUUCGAUUUUGAUUUUGAGUUUUUAUGAAACAGCCCAAACCAAAUUGGGCCGGCCACUCAAGGGCGCAUCUAUUAAGGGACCAGAUGGAUCUGUGGACUUUAGGGAAAACGGGAAAAUGCUUGGAAGGAUCUAUGGGAACCCUAUGACAGUUUGGGAUAAAAUCUAAAAAUGAUCACCGCGUUUGAUGAAAUCUUGCUCUGUAGAUGGUGGUAGGUGAAGCUGGACAUGUCUCGGUAGGUUCAAAAGGCAUUGGCAUCAAGGCCUGGUAGAUGUCAGCAUGCCCAUCAAAUGCUUGAUUAAACGCGUCACUAAUAAAACUCAUCACAAAUCACUUGAACUCAACAAAUUCGCCCUCCACUUGAGUUGCUUCGUCUUAAAAAAGUUUUGAACUUUCAUACUAGUAUCAAAUGAGGUAUGAAUUUUAGAUUCACCACUGCAACCGCUUAUUUAUUUAUUUAUUUUUAUAUUAUUUUAUGUUACAUGUCUAAGUGGCUAGUUACUAGAUAAGUAAGUUUGAUGGCAUGUUGAAUUUCAAAAUGAUUUUAUGUGAUGGAAAAUAAUGAAUAUGUAGGAAUUAUUAUUUAUGUAAUUUUUGAGGUAGUUGGGGUAACAAAGUUGCAAGAUGUAAUCUUCUAAAAAAAAAAGGGGUUGUAAAAUGCAAAAGAGAAAAGAAUGGUCGUAGCCCCAAAACCUGUCCGCACUAAAUUUUGGAGUACGAUUCUUUUGCCUUCUAUCCUCAUUCCUUUAGGAUUCUUUUGCCUCAUGUUCUUAUCCCCUUUUAUUCUCUUCUCUCAAGGUUUUCUCUUUAUCUUUCUGUCUAUAAAAAAAUCUUACAAAAUGUUGACGUAACUUAAUCGUAACCAUUUAAAUAGAAGGAGAGAGAAGGGAAGAGAGAUUAGGAGGGGAAAGAAUCCUUCCCCCCUAAAUUUUUCAAAAUUGGCUUGGUUUGGUUUGAUUCUGUUUGUAGGUGAUAUUUGUUAAAAGGGGUGUGAUAUCUACACACCCCAUUUUACUUCUCACACACUCUUCUAAUUUUCGACAGUCGAAUCGGAUGAAUUGAAAAAGAUCAACAAACAAAAAUUAACAAGGGUGUGUAAGAAGUAAUUUGGGAUGUGUGGAUAGCACCCCUUGUUAAAAUGGAAUUGAAUUAAACCGUUAUAUUGUAUAUUGUAUACUUAUUUGAUAACAAUUAUGCGAUCAAAUCGAUCCUGUCCAAAAUUGUGGGCACCUACAGUUGUUAGUUAAUAUGGCAAUGCUUCUUUUUUAAGCCUGUGACUGAUAAAGCACAUGAAAAUACUGACCGGAAAGUCACAUAACCAUGUACUUUUUAAACAAAAAUGUCUAUCUAUUAAAAAGUACUGUCAAACAGAAAAUGAUUUUCACACAAUAUUUUUAAUAAAUAAAAUAAAGAGACAUAAAUAUACAGUGAUGUGCUGACCGGGGGAAAACAAAGUGUGCAAAUCAUUUUUCUUGUCAAAUAAACCGAUUUUGAAUAAGGGAAAGAGAUUAGAGCUAUAAAAUAGUGGUUCAAAUUAUUCUUUUGUUAAAGGUACUGCAAAUAAAUGGCAAAGACAAUUAAAAAGAGAGAAAUGGUGGGAAAUUAUAGAGAGAUAAAGAUAGAACACUGUUGGCAGCAUUUGUCAUGUGAUGUGAGUCUCUCUCUUCUCCUACUCCUAUUUCAUUCUCUCUCCUCUUAUUCAUAUCCCAUUCUCUCCUAUCUUUUAACAAAUAUAGUUUUAACGAAAAGAUCGCGGUACUGUUCAUUUUAACAAAAAAUUAUAUUUUUAUACUAAAAAGUCAAACCUUAUACUAUUUACUUUACCCUGUAUUAUUCUUUUAACUAUUAAAAAAUUAACACUAAAUAUUAAUCAUAACUGUUCAAAUACAACAACAACAACAACAAAGCCUUUUCCCACUAAGUGGGGUCGGCUAUAUGAAUCCUAGAACG